Abrus precatorius (Indian licorice) is the source of this 290-nucleotide long non-coding RNA. RefSeq lists it as uncharacterized. The transcript is spliced from 2 exons. NCBI's taxonomy places the organism in Eukaryota, Viridiplantae, Streptophyta, Magnoliopsida, Fabales, Fabaceae. The record is from RefSeq and is a predicted model, not a curated record.
AAUGAAUAAUAUACUGCAAUAGUUACACAAUAUCCUGGUCCUGGAGGAGAAAACACGAAGAUUUGAAUGUGGUAAAGAUGUUUAACUACCUUGACUAACAUUUCCAGUGGAAGAAUCUUCGUGUUAAAAUUUCUGAAAGUUAAUACUUGACACCAAAUUUAAAAAAUCUACACAAGUAAUGUCUAUGCAUUCGAUUUUACUCCAUUUAUCACUAUCCUUCAAUCCGGACAAAACCUCGAGAGGAAUGAAGCACCAAGAAGCAUCCAAUGAUGAGCUCGUGACAAGGGUCA